UACGUAGGGUGCAAGCGUUGUUCGGAAUCAUUGGGCGUAAAGCGCUUGUAGGCGGCCUGUCAAGUCGCGUGUGAAAUCCCUUGGCUUAACCAAGGAAGUGCGCGCGAAACUGGCGGGCUUGAGUGCCGGAGAGGGUCGCGGAAUUCCCGGUGUAGAGGUGAAAUUCGUAGAUAUCGGGAGGAACACCAGUGGCGAAGGCGGCGACCUGGACGGACACUGACGCUGAGACGCGAAAGCGUGGGGAGCAAACAGG
This 253-nucleotide ribosomal RNA is filed under the name uncultured bacterium. RNAcentral describes it as "partial 16S ribosomal RNA". It matches the Rfam family "Bacterial small subunit ribosomal RNA", at positions 524 to 776 of the family's 1533-position model. The record is from RNAcentral.